AAAAAGACAAACCCUGAUUUUCAUGUCCAACGUUUGACCGUCCGUCUUAUUUAAAAAAAUUAUGAAAAAAAAUUAAAAAGACAAGUCACACAUAAAGUAUUAAUAAUAUUUUUUUAUUUAAAAGAAUUAUAAAAAAAUUUCAUACAAGACGGACAGUUAAAAUUGGACACGAAAAUAUAGGGUUUGUUUUUUU
This 193-nucleotide microRNA precursor is filed under the name Oryza sativa Indica Group (long-grained rice). RNAcentral describes it as "MIR812 microRNA precursor family". It matches the Rfam family "MIR812 microRNA precursor family". Lineage: Eukaryota; Viridiplantae; Streptophyta; Magnoliopsida; Poales; Poaceae. The record is from Rfam by way of RNAcentral.